AACAUCAAGGUAUUUUCAUGGCGAAAAAUAAGUCUGUGCAAUUGGAGCCAAAAUCUCCCAAAAGGAAAAAGUCAGCUUUAAAUGAAAGUCCAGUUCCUGUGGAAGAAAUUGUUGAAAAAAAAGCGAAAAAGAAAAAGGAAUCUCCAGAAGAGAUCCCAUCUGUAAUUAAAUCAAAAGAGCGUAAAAACUCGGAAAAGAACAAGAAGCGCAUAAGAAAGGAAGGAGACAAAGGACAGACACAAACAAGGCAAUCUGAGGUGAGAAUAUUCUGCUUUAAUGGAUGUUGUGUCAACAUUUUAUCACCUGUCUUUGCUAAAGUGACAUAAACAGUGUUUGGAGCAGACACACUGUUGUUAAGUAACUCAUGUGCUGUCUUAGAUUAAUCAUACACAAUAUAUACAAAAAAAAAAAGUAGCUUCAGCAGAAAUAUUUGCAU
This 436-nucleotide long non-coding RNA is filed under the name Oryzias javanicus (javanese ricefish). RNAcentral describes it as "lncRNA (ENSOJAG00000020429.1)". The record is from RNAcentral. Lineage: Eukaryota; Metazoa; Chordata; Actinopteri; Beloniformes; Adrianichthyidae.